AAAACUGACCGUUUCCAGUCCUGUGGCCACGCUGUUUAUUUUAUAUUUACUUUAGACUAUGGAAAGGAUGUUAGAUGAGAAGCAAAUUUGUGUGAUUGUCUUAUUUGAUUUCAAAAUGAGGCGUAAAGCAGCAGAGACAACUCGCUACAUCAACAGCCCAUCUGGCCCAGGAACUGCUAAUGCACGUCCAGUGCAGUGGUGUUUCAAGAAGCUUUGCAAAGGAGAUGAGAGCCUUGAAGAUGAGUACCGUAGUGGCUGGCCAUUGGAAGUUACAGUGACCAACUGAGAAGAUCAUCGAAGCUGAUCCUCUUACCACUGCAGAUGUGACUGAAGAACUCAGCGUUGACCAUUCCACGGUCAUUCCGCAUUUGAAGCGAAGUGGAAAGGCAACACACCAUUUCUCGACUGGAUUGUAACAUGUGAUGAAAAGUGGAUUUAUAUGACAACCAGCAACGACCAGCUCAGUGGGUGGACUGAGAAGAAGCUCCAAAGCACUUCUCAAAGCCAAACUUACACCAAAAAAGAGUCAUGGUCAAAUUAAAAAAAAAAAAAAAAGGUCACGGUCACUGUUUGGUGGUCUGCUGCCCG
Capra hircus (goat) is the source of this 588-nucleotide long non-coding RNA. RefSeq lists it as uncharacterized. The record is from RefSeq and is a predicted model, not a curated record. Lineage: Eukaryota; Metazoa; Chordata; Mammalia; Artiodactyla; Bovidae. The transcript is spliced from 2 exons.